This 250-nucleotide long non-coding RNA is filed under the name Theobroma cacao (cacao). Its description in RNAcentral is "long non-coding RNA (TCAC_LNC000692)". Lineage: Eukaryota; Viridiplantae; Streptophyta; Magnoliopsida; Malvales; Malvaceae. The record is from RNAcentral.
CAUCGAUGCUUUCUGUCUCAUAAUAGCUGGAAUCUUCCUGAACCAUUGCACCUGAUUCAGGAUCAAGGAAAGUUACAACGGAUGGUCUUCUGACAUGGCAAGGAGUCUCAUUGUUAGCAUCCUCUACAACGGAUGGUCUUCUGACAUGGCAAGGAGUCUCAUUGUUACCAUCCUCCCCCUUUUGGAAAGAGACAUCAGAUGAUGAAAGCACAGGUGAGCUUGAAACUGACUCUGUUGUAUCAGAAUCAGG